ACGGGUGAGUAACGCGUGGGGAUGUACCCAAAGGUUCGGAAUAACUCAGGGAAACUUGAGCUAAUACCGUAUGUGCCCGAGAGGGGAAAGAUUUAUCGCCUUUGGAUCAACCCGCGUCAGAUUAGCUAGUUGGUAGGGUAAUGGCCUACCAAGGCGACGAUCUGUAGCUGGUCUGAGAGGAUGAUCAGCCACACUGGGACUGAGACACGGCCCAGACUCCUACGGGAGGCAGCAGUGGGGAAUAUUGGACAAUGGGCGCAAGCCUGAUCCAGCCAUGCCGCGUGAGUGAUGACGGCCUUAGGGUUGUAAAGCUCUUUCGACGGGGACGAUAAUGACGGUACCCGUAGAAGAAGCCCCGGCUAACUUCGUGCCAGCAGCCGCGGUAAUACGAAGGGGGCUAGCGUUGUUCGGAAUCACUGGGCGUAAAGCGCACGUAGGCGGAUUGUUAAGUCGGGGGUGAAAUCCUGAGGCUCAACCUCAGAACUGCCUCCGAUACUGGCAAUCUCGAGUUCGGAAGAGGUUGGUGGGACAGCUAGUGUAGAGGUGAAAUUCGUAGA
Molecule: ribosomal RNA, 557 nt
Filed under: uncultured bacterium
Lineage: Bacteria
Description: bacterial SSU rRNA
Rfam family: Bacterial small subunit ribosomal RNA
Source: RNAcentral